AUUGAACGCUAGCGGGAUGCUUUACACAUGCAAGUCGAACGGCAGCGCGGACUUCGGUCUGGCGGCGAGUGGCGAACGGGUGAGUAAUGUAUCGGAACGUGCCCAGUAGCGGGGGAUAACUACGCGAAAGCGUAGCUAAUACCGCAUACGCCCUACGGGGGAAAGCAGGGGAUCGUAAGACCUUGCACUAUUGGAGCGGCCGAUAUCGGAUUAGCUAGUUGGUGAGGUAACGGCUCACCAAGGCGACGAUCCGUAGCUGGUUUGAGAGGACGACCAGCCACACUGGGACUGAGACACGGCCCAGACUCCUACGGGAGGCAGCAGUGGGGAAUUUUGGACGAUGGGGGCAACCCUGAUCCAGCCAUCCCGCGUGUGCGAUGAAGGCCUUCGGGUUGUAAAGCACUUUUGGCAGGAAAGAAACGUCGCGGGCUAAUACCCCGUGGAACUGACGGUACCUGCAGAAUAAGCACCGGCUAACUACGUG
RNAcentral lists this ribosomal RNA (484 nucleotides) under uncultured bacterium. RNAcentral describes it as "partial 16S ribosomal RNA". It matches the Rfam family "Bacterial small subunit ribosomal RNA", at positions 30 to 507 of the family's 1533-position model. The record is from RNAcentral.